GGUCAAAUCACGUUGAAACACCGGUUCUCGUUUGAUCGCUGAAGUUAAGCAAUGUUUAGCCUGGUAAGUACUUAAAUGGGGGACUACUUGAAUAUGCCGGGUACUGUAA
Molecule: non-coding RNA, 109 nt
Organism: Acanthosepion pharaonis
Lineage: Eukaryota; Metazoa; Mollusca; Cephalopoda; Sepiida; Sepiidae
Source: the annotation of a GenBank genome assembly